GCGCAGCAGGCGAGAAUAGUCUACAAUGGACGAAAGUCUGAUAGUGCGACGCCGUGUGUGCGAUUAAUUCCUUCGGGAUGUAAAGCACUUUUCUAUGAGAUAAAAGCUCUUUAGGUUAAUAGCUUAUUGAGACGGAUAUUAUUAUAGGAAUAAGCUCCGGCUAACUCCGUGCCAGCAGCCGCGGUAAUACGGAAGGAGCGAGCGUUGUCCGGAUUUUACUAGGCGUAAAGGGCUAGUAGGCGACUAAUUAAGUUAUAUGUUAAAUCCCACGGCUCAACUGUGGUCCUGCAUGUAAUACUGGUUAGAUAGAGUACUGUAGAGGAAGGCAGAAUUCCUGGAGUAGCGGUGGAAUGCGCAGAUAUCAGGAAGAAUACCAAAAGCGAAGGCAGCCUUCUGGGCAGUUACUGACGCUGAAUAGCGAAGGUGUGGGUAGCGAACAGGAUUAGAUACCUGCGU
RNAcentral lists this ribosomal RNA (456 nucleotides) under uncultured microorganism. RNAcentral describes it as "bacterial SSU rRNA". It matches the Rfam family "Bacterial small subunit ribosomal RNA", at positions 346 to 791 of the family's 1533-position model. The record is from RNAcentral.